RNAcentral lists this transfer RNA (77 nucleotides) under Puniceicoccales bacterium. RNAcentral describes it as "tRNA-Pro". It matches the Rfam family "tRNA". Rfam says of the family: Transfer RNA (tRNA) molecules are approximately 80 nucleotides in length. The record is from RNAcentral. Lineage: Bacteria; Pseudomonadati; Verrucomicrobiota; Opitutia; Puniceicoccales.
CGGGCUGUGGCGUAGCCUGGUAGCGCGCUUGCAUGGGGUGCAAGAGGUCAUGAGUUCGAAUCUCAUUAGCCCGACCA